GAUGAAGAACGUAGCGAAAUGCGAUACGUAAUGUGAAUUGCAGAAUUCAGUGAAUCAUCGAGUCUUUGAACGCACAUUGCGCCCCCUGGUAUUCCGGGGGGCAUGCCUGUCCGAGCGUCAUUGCUGCCCUCAAGCACGGCUUGUGUGUUGGGCCUCCGUCCUCCUCCCGGGGGACGGGCCCGAAAGGCAGCGGCGGCACCGCGUCCGGUCCUCGAGCGUAUGGGGCUUCGUCACCCGCUCUUGUAGGCCCGGCCGGCGCUUGCCGACACAUCAAUCUUUUUUCCAGGUUUACCUCGGAUCAGGUAGGGAUACCCGCUGAACUUAAGCAUAUCAAUAAGCGGAGGA
This 345-nucleotide unclassified non-coding RNA is filed under the name soil metagenome. RNAcentral describes it as "partial contains 5.8S ribosomal RNA, internal transcribed spacer 2, and large subunit ribosomal RNA". The stretch from base 1 to 120 matches the Rfam family "5.8S ribosomal RNA", at positions 35 to 154 of the family's 154-position model. The record is from RNAcentral.